AUUGAACGCUGGCGGCAGGCCUAACACAUGCAAGUCGAACGAGUGGCGGACGGGUGAGUAAUGUCUGGGAAACUGCCCGAUGGAGGGGGAUAACUACUGGAAACGGUAGCUAAUACCGCAUACCAUCGGAUGUGCCCAUAUGGGAUUAGCUAGUAGGUGGGGUAAAGGCUCACCUAGGCGACGAUCCCUAGCUGGUUUGAGAGGACGAUCAGCCACACUGGGACUGAGACACGGCCCAGACUCCUACGGGAGGCAGCAGUGGGGAAUUUUGGACAAUGGGGGAAAGCCUGAUACAGCCAUGCCGCGUGUAUGAAGAAGGCCUUCGGGUUGUAAAGCACUUUCGGCGGGAAAGCGGUACCUGCAGAAUAAGCACCGGCUAACUCCGUGCCAGCAGCCGCGGUAAUAC
This 406-nucleotide ribosomal RNA is filed under the name uncultured bacterium. RNAcentral describes it as "partial 16S ribosomal RNA". It matches the Rfam family "Bacterial small subunit ribosomal RNA", at positions 30 to 526 of the family's 1533-position model. The record is from RNAcentral.